Molecule: ribosomal RNA, 497 nt
Filed under: uncultured bacterium
Lineage: Bacteria
Description: partial 16S ribosomal RNA
Rfam family: Bacterial small subunit ribosomal RNA
Source: RNAcentral
GAUGAACGCUGGCGGCGUGCCUAAUACAUGCAAGUCGAGCGAACAGAUGAGGAGCUUGCUCCUCUGACGUUAGCGGCGGACGGGUGAGUAACACGUGGAUAACCUACCUAUAAGACUGGGAUAACUUCGGGAAACCGGAGCUAAUACCGGAUAAUAUAUUGAACCGCAUGGUUCAAUAGUGAAAGACGGUUUUGCUGUCACUUAUAGAUGGAUCCGCGCCGCAUUAGCUAGUUGGUAAGGUAACGGCUUACCAAGGCGACGAUGCGUAGCCGACCUGAGAGGGUGAUCGGCCACACUGGAACUGAGACACGGUCCAGACUCCUACGGAAGGCAGCAGUAGGGAAUCUUCCGCAAUGGGCGAAAGCCUGACGGAGCAACGCCGCGUGAGUGAUGAAGGUCUUCGGAUCGUAAAACUCUGUUAUUAGGGAAGAACAAAUGUGUAAGUAACUAUGCACGUCUUGACGGUACCUAAUCAGAAAGCCACGGCUAACUACGUG